UAUGGAUAGACUCAUGUUUUGAGUUAGGCUAAGCUCAUACAAAAAUAAAAUGUAUUAAUAUCAUACUUAAACUCUACCCAGCCCAUAAAAACUUCUAAUUAAUAUUAUUGUUAUAACAAAACAACAUAAUGAUAUAAGUUGUUGGAUUCAUUUCCUAAAGGAAAAAUAUUGGAAGUGGGAAGCAAAUGGUAAAAUCCCAGCAACGAAAACAAGGGCACGUUCAAAAUUGGUGCUUCAAAAGGAUCAAACACUUGAUAUUUUCAUCUCAAAGUUUGUUCAAUUUCCCACCUGUUUGGAACGCUUUGGAUUGAUAUAUCCCUGAGGUUUGGAAAGGCUCAAAGAACUUGCUUACAAUCUUUUGCAGCUUCCGCGUAACCCCAUAUGUAGAAAGGACAUAGUAAAGACAAAAUACAAGAUUGGAGUUCUUUUAACUCCGAUGUUAACCUCCCAACUCAAUUUCCCUUUUCUUCAACAACUCCAUGGAACUCUGUAAGCAUUGAGAAGGUGGUGUUUCCUUCAAAAUAACAGCUUCUAAGAUGCAGGCAAACAAUUUACAAGCAUAUUUAUCAUGUUUCAAAAGCUUUCAUAAUAAUAUGGAUCAUGAAAACUUUUCCUUAAAAAGAAAAAAGAAAAAGAAAAAACAUGGCCUGAGCUUUCCUUUCAUAAAAAAUUACAAAGAUGAUUAAUAUAUACGAAAGUACUUAAACUUGACAACUAAUACUUACUUGCUAGAACUGUCCAUGGAACGAGCUAUUUGUCCAAGCCCAAAGGUUCCCCGAAAUUUGGGAGAAUUUGGGCAAAAAUAUUACACUCAAAAAAUGAUGAACUUAAACAAGAAAAUUAGGCCUGUUUAAAAUAUGGGUCAAUCUC
RNAcentral lists this long non-coding RNA (870 nucleotides) under Gossypium barbadense (sea-island cotton). RNAcentral describes it as "long non-coding RNA (GBAR_LNC019689)". Lineage: Eukaryota; Viridiplantae; Streptophyta; Magnoliopsida; Malvales; Malvaceae. The record is from RNAcentral.